GAUGAACGCUGGCGGCGUGCCUAAUACAUGCAAGUCGAGCGAACAGACGAGGAGCUUGCUCCUCUGACGUUAGCGGCGGACGGGUGAGUAACACGUGGAUAACCUACCUAUAAGACUGGGAUAACUUCGGGAAACCGGAGCUAAUACCGGAUAAUAUAUUGAACCGCAUGGUUCAAUAGUGAAAGACGGUUUUGCUGUCACUUAUAGAUGGAUCCGCGCCGCAUUAGCUAGUUGGUAAGGUAACGGCUUACCAGGCGACGAUGCGUAGCCGACCUGAGAGGGUGAUCGGCCACACUGGAACUGAGACACGGUCCAGACUCCUACGGGAGGCAGCAGUAGGGAAUCUUCCGCAAUGGGCGAAAGCCUGACGGAGCAACGCCGCGUGAGUGAUGAAGGUCUUCGGAUCGUAAAACUCUGUUAUUAGGGAAGAACAAAUGUGUAAGUAACUAUGCACGUCUUGACGGUACCUAAUCAGAAAGCCACGGCUAACUACGUG
This 496-nucleotide ribosomal RNA is filed under the name uncultured bacterium. RNAcentral describes it as "partial 16S ribosomal RNA". It matches the Rfam family "Bacterial small subunit ribosomal RNA", at positions 28 to 507 of the family's 1533-position model. The record is from RNAcentral.